GAUGAACGCUGGCGGCGUGCCUAAUACAUGCAAGUCGAGCGAACAGACGAGGAGCUUGCUCCUCUGACGUUAGCGGCGGACGGGUGAGUAACACGUGGAUAACCUACCUAUAAGACUGGGAUAACUUCGGGAAACCGGAGCUAAUACCGGAUAAUAUAUUGAACCGCAUGGUUCAAUAGUGAAAGACGGUUUUGCUGUCACUUAUAGAUGGAUCCGCGCCGCAUUAGCUAGUUGGUAAGGUAACGGCUUACCAAGGCAACGAUGCGUAGCCGACCUGAGAGGGUGAUCGGCCACACUGGAACUGAGACACGGUCCAGACUCCUACGGGAGGCAGCAGUAGGGAAUCUUCCGCAAUGGGCGAAAGCCUGACGGAGCAACGCCGCGUGAAUGAUGAAGGUCUUCGGAUCGUAAAACUCUGUUAUUAGGGAAGAACAAAUGUGUAAGUAACUAUGCACGUCUUGACGGUACCUAAUCAGAAAGCAACGGCUAACUACGUG
Molecule: ribosomal RNA, 497 nt
Filed under: uncultured bacterium
Lineage: Bacteria
Description: partial 16S ribosomal RNA
Rfam family: Bacterial small subunit ribosomal RNA
Source: RNAcentral